Molecule: ribosomal RNA, 419 nt
Filed under: bacterium enrichment culture clone ALO1_GLFRUDD03F1KJZ
Lineage: Bacteria
Description: bacterial SSU rRNA
Rfam family: Bacterial small subunit ribosomal RNA
Source: RNAcentral
GAGUUUGAUCGUGGCUCAGAUUGAACGCUGGCGGCAUGCCUUACACAUGCAAGUCGAACGGCAGCACGGGAGCUUGCUCCUGGUGGGCGGGUGGCGAACGGGUGAGUAAUGCAUCGGAACGUAUCCUGGAGUGGGGGAUAACGUAGCGAAAGUUACGCUAAUACCGCAUAUUCUGUGAGCAGGAAAGCGGGGGACCUUCGGGCCUCGCGCUCUUGGAGCGGCCGAUGUCGGAUUAGCUAGUUGGUGAGGUAAAGGCUCACCAAGGCGACGAUCCGUAGCAGGUCUGAGAGGAUGAUCUGCCACACUGGAACUGAGACACGGUCCAGACUCCUACGGGAGGCAGCAGUGGGGAAUUUUGGACAAUGGGGGCAACCCUGAUCCAGCCAUGCCGCGUGAGUGAAGAAGGCCUCGGUUGUAAG